This 238-nucleotide long non-coding RNA is filed under the name Brassica napus (rape). Its description in RNAcentral is "long non-coding RNA (BNAP_LNC008367)". The record is from RNAcentral. Lineage: Eukaryota; Viridiplantae; Streptophyta; Magnoliopsida; Brassicales; Brassicaceae.
UGAAGGCACAAUGUUCUUCAGGGUAUUGAGCAAAGGAACACACAACCUGAGAAGGAUGCUCCACAGCUUGGGCAUUGUAGUACACUCGCGUGUUUACCCAAGAGGAAGGAUCCUUUCUCAGCCUUGUGCUUCUCCUCAAAACUGGUUGUUCUUGCUCUUGAACCGGCUCAGCUUGUAUAUGCGGUUCUUGUGCUUCACUUUCAUGUUCUUCAUCUCCUUGGUCUUGCUCACCUUGAUG